CGGCAACGGAUAUCUCGGCUCUCGCAUCGAUGAAGAACGUAGCGAAAUGCGAUACUUGGUGUGAAUUGCAGAAUCCCGUGAACCAUCGAGUCUUUGAACGCAAGUUGCGCCCGAAGCCAUCAGGCCGAGGGCACGCCUGCCUGGGCGUCACACGUCGUUGCCCUCC
RNAcentral lists this ribosomal RNA (166 nucleotides) under Malus toringoides. RNAcentral's name for it is "5.8S ribosomal RNA". The stretch from base 3 to 150 matches the Rfam family "5.8S ribosomal RNA". Rfam says of the family: 5.8S ribosomal RNA (5.8S rRNA) is a component of the large subunit of the eukaryotic ribosome. RNAcentral also lists the same sequence under 1 other name. The record is from RNAcentral. Lineage: Eukaryota; Viridiplantae; Streptophyta; Magnoliopsida; Rosales; Rosaceae.